Lotus japonicus is the source of this 3734-nucleotide long non-coding RNA. RefSeq lists it as uncharacterized. Lineage: Eukaryota; Viridiplantae; Streptophyta; Magnoliopsida; Fabales; Fabaceae. The record is from RefSeq and is a predicted model, not a curated record. The transcript is spliced from 4 exons.
CCCAUUCCAUCUGAAACGUAUUUGGGUUUUUAAUUGCAUCAGUUUCAAUCAAUCUUCCAUUCCACCUGAAACGCGUUUCACGUUUUCACUUCUUCUUCCGUUCCUUUUCUCAUCCCAUUCUCCUUCUUUGCGUCGUUGAUCUGCCAAGUUAACUAGGGUUUUGAAAUAGAGAGAGGUCGAGACAGUGAUGGUGUGAGCCUGCAGCAGACGAUGCGAUUCACCGAAGCAGUGUCGUGAGUGAGAGAGAGGGGUCCAACCGAAGAGAUGAGGCAGAAGUUGGUGGGCUUGGUCUGCAGAAAAACGAACGAAAUGGAAUAUAGGAAUGGUCACGCCUGUGAUGAAGAUGGCGUCGCUGUGACAAGUCUGCAGUGCAGAGAGAGUGCAAAAUUGAAUGAGUGUGCAGAGAGGGUGAGAAACGUGAAAGACAGAAAUCAAAUUGGAAAGUUCAUGUGUUUUUUGUUUCGAACGACAUAAGCCCUAAUUGGAUUCCGCUCUAUUUCAACUCAAGUGGUUCAUAACCAGAUGAAGAGUGUGAAGGAAAUCCAAAGGAAUGAAGAUGGUUGCUGUCUCCAAGCUACAAGUAUGUUUUUAUUUAUGAUCUAUAAGCACCCCUUCAGAUUGUAGUGUUUUUUUUUUAUAAAACGUGAUCUAUGUACAAAGUGUACUUUUAAAUAUUUUCUUUUUUAGUGGCUGUAAUCAUAAGUUUUGAUUAUGAAUUGCAGCAAAUUGUGGAACAGGCCAUUGAUAUUUGUAGGUUUUUUUAAGGGAGUUGUGCUGCUAUUGUGGAUUCAGGAACAUCUUUGCUUGCUGAUCCAAUUUUACUUGCUUACAUUUUUGCCAUACCUUUUUCAUUUAUACUUUUUUUUGGCUGGAUUAUUUUCAGAGGUUGUUGUGUGAUAAACGUCACAGCAAUUGAUGAACCAUCGCUGCUUCUCUGGAUUCAAAGCUAAUUUGUCUUCUUUAGGGACUUAUCUUCUCUUCUUUUGUAGAUUAAUACUGCCUGAAAUCUCACUUUGCAUAUUAACUGUAAGUUGUUCAUUGAACGUUGGUUGUGUCAUGACCGAAGGAAGUGUGGUGGCAAAGAAGCUAUUGGAGGUGCUUAGAAGUCUUCCAUUUAAGCUUCAGGGUAGUUAUGGAGCUUAUGGACUUAAGUCUCUCAUAGAUUUUACUUCUUCAUUUUUCCUGCUAUUGUAUCCCUUCUUUUUCUCUACUGAUUGUUUCACAUUUCAUGGCAAGGACAAGAAAACAAAUGUUUACAAAAAGAUUGGGGAAGGAGGGAACAACAAUGGAUCAGAGGUGCAUCGAGGUGUUUCUGACUUGAGGCAACAUACUACUCAUCUAUACUAUGGAAGCAGCCAUUGCCAUUGAUCUUGGCUGUUGUUUCUUUUUCCUCACAACCCUUUCACUGUAAAAAAAACAAAACGGAACUCUGCUUUUGUAACGCAUGAUUACACUUCCUCUUCCUUUUUUUUCCCGUUCUAAACUGAUAACAACGAUGUAGGGUUUUGAAAAUGUAUAUGUACCUUCUACAAUAAACCUUUUGGAUUACGAUUGGAACACCGAAGAUUCACCUCUGUCGAACGGGUUGGAACUGAGAAGCAGUAUUAGAGAUUCAUCUUCUGAUGCCGUAAGAAUCAGAUUUACCAGGUUUUCAGUUUUCUGUCUCGAUCUCAUUCUUAGCCCGUUCUUUUUAAUCUUGAUGUUUAUUGCUUGCUAGGGUUAAAGUUGCAGAAAGUCUACGUUUUUGCUCUAUGCGUCGUUUCUCCAUUCUUUGGGGCUUACCUUGGGUUUGCGAUUUCAGUUUCCUCCUAUGCUACCUGAAUGAUAUCUUACUGCUGCAUAACAUCUAUGUAUGAAUUUAUUUGUUGCAACGUUUUGGUUCUAUUCUACGAUACAUAUUUCUUUGAAGGUAAUUUUGUUUCCUUUCUCUUCAUUUUUUCUGCAAUAAUUCUUAUUCAGAAAGCCUACAGAUGAUUCAUGAGUGUUUGCUUACUCUGUGUAGUGUGUAGGCUUAUGAGUCUUAUUUGUGCAUAUAUACUGUGGUCUGUUUUGUUUAAAUAAAUUUUAAAACUGAAGUUUCUGCUUAUAUCUAGGGAUGGAUAGUUUUUAUACAGGUUGGUUCAAUUGUUGUUGAUGGCCGAUAGGACAACCUGAUAGGGAUGUUUGGUUCAAACCAAGUUCCAACAGUUGGUGUAAGCCUGAGAAUGAAGAGAGUAUUUUCCAUAAUGGAGCAGCAUUGGAAGGAUCAGAAUCAGAUGCUUAUAACUAGCAUUAGUUGUAGAUGUGAAAACAAAUAACUUAUGAAUAAUGGUUUGGAUGUUGUUUAAUUCUUGCUUUUGCGGACCUAUUUUUCGGACUAGGAGAACCAAGUUCACUAUUCUCUAAAAUUCGUUUAUAACACAAUCUAUAGUGAAUACUUUGAUUAACAUGACUUUUGUGCCCUUUGCAGUUAAUGACGUGAUGAGAGUUCCUUUUUCCCCAAACUUAUAAUGCAGUUUGAACCUAUAUGAAGCUUUCUAUCAAAUUUACAAAUUCAUAUAUGAGAGAUUAAUUAGCUAUUUGCCUCCUUUGUGUAUGAAGGAGAUUCACCUAUGUUUUAUGGCUAGGCUUAUAAAUUGCCAAAAGGUCACACUUAGUUCUUAUGAUCAAAUUCGGUUAUGUUGCUCUUUCGGUGAAGAACAAGGUUUCCCUUCAGAAUUCGAUCCCUUUGGAAUGACUUACUUCAACAAACCAGUAGGCAUAGCUUCUCUUUUCUUUUCUUUUUUCUCAAAAACUGUAGAGGCACAAAAAAUCCUUAAUUAUUACUAAAAUUUAGCUGAAAUGGAUAAUAUUCUUGAUUGUGUUACGAAAGCUAGCAAUUUGACUAUAUGAGAGACCUGAGUGCGUUGAAGUAUACACAAAUGAGAAAUCAACCACAAAGAAAAAAAAUAAUUAGUAUAAUAUUUUGCAGUUUAUACGAAGAGUUUUUUUUUUGGUCAAGUGUUGUUUUGUUCAUGAGUGUGUGUGUGUGUGUUUUCUUUUAAUUUGGAGUAAUAUACAAGUGUUUCUUUAUUUGUUGUUUUGUUGGCCUGGAUUGUCUUUGUCGUUUAGGAAAGGUGAACAAACAGGAAUCAAUUCAAAGGCUUCAUGAUUAGCGUGAUCAGAGGUACAAGAAGGAAUUGCUAUAUUUCUCUAUCAUUGUAUAUUGAACUAUUUCUGUGCUAUUCACCUAUGUGUUGAUUUAAGAGGAGUUGCAAAGGUCAUUAUUUUGUCUGUAAUGGUGUGUUAAGGAUGAUUUAUGGUCUUCCAGGCCAGCUUUCCCCCAUGUUCUUCUACAUUCAUUUUCUAAUUAAGUGGAUUUGAGCAAGGGCACCCUCCUUCCAUGAUUUCGUAUGCAGUUCUCUAAGAUUUCUUUCUAUCUGUCAAUUGAAGUCAAGCCAAGCUUUGCUCCUGUCUAAUGGUCAUGCCUCAACUGUAUCGUGAUAUCCAAAGAAUCUUCUCCUUGAAUUGGAGGCUUCAGAGCUUGAAGGUUUCCUCUUUUGAUUUAUUUAGAAGAGCAUUUGAAAGUCAAGUAUGAUGUUGGUGAAUUGAGAACUCACAAGAAAUGUUAAAAUGAGUAUGAGGGCAUAGGAGGUUUACACUACGACAAUUUUCUUCUGCAAUUUUUCUUUAUAUACAAAUGUAUUUGUGAAAAAGGAAAAAAUGGUCAUUCCAUUUCAUCUUCAUUUUUGCACUUAAAUGAGCUUCCUUAGUCA